UCUUUUUAAAAUAAAUUUUUUAUUUUUUUUCUUCUGAAAAGCAAGUUUAAUUUUUUUUUUGACAAUAAAAAAAAAUAAAAUCAGGCAACUUAGUGGGACAGAAGUGUAAAAAAUGUCGAAUUUGGUAAAAGAUAAAUGGGUCGAGUUGAGUCGAGUUACAAUCAAAUUGGUUAAAAGGGACAUAAACACCAAAAAAUAUUACUUUAAUGACCUAAUUGACGAAAAAUAAAUUUUAAGGACGAUUUUAAAAAUGAGUGACAACUUGGGUCAGCCUUUUUCUUUCCUAGUAAAACUAAUGUUUAUUAUAUAUUUAUUUAGUGUUUACUUUAAUAGUGAUGCAUAAUGUGAUAAAUAAAAUUAUAAUCAUAAAUUUUAGAAUAAUGUUUCAUUUUAUAUUAC
Molecule: long non-coding RNA, 399 nt
Filed under: Panax ginseng (ginseng)
Lineage: Eukaryota; Viridiplantae; Streptophyta; Magnoliopsida; Apiales; Araliaceae
Description: long non-coding RNA (PGIN_LNC011645)
Source: RNAcentral